This 253-nucleotide ribosomal RNA is filed under the name uncultured bacterium. RNAcentral describes it as "partial 16S ribosomal RNA". It matches the Rfam family "Bacterial small subunit ribosomal RNA", at positions 524 to 776 of the family's 1533-position model. The record is from RNAcentral.
UCCGUAGGGGGCAAGCGUUGUCCGGAAUCAUUGGGCGUAAAGCGCGCGUAGGCGGCCCGGUAAGUCCGUUGUGAAAGUCAAAGGCUCAACCUUUGAACGCCGAUGGAUACUGCCGGGCUAGAGUCCGGAAGAGGCGAGUGGAAUUCCUGGUGUAGCGGUGGAAUGCGCAGAUAUCAGGAGGAACACCAAUAGCGAAGGCAGCUCGCUGGGACGGUACUGACGCUGAGGCGCGAAAGCGUGGGGAGCGAACAGG